RNAcentral lists this ribosomal RNA (274 nucleotides) under uncultured bacterium. Its description in RNAcentral is "partial 16S ribosomal RNA". It matches the Rfam family "Bacterial small subunit ribosomal RNA", at positions 523 to 796 of the family's 1533-position model. The record is from RNAcentral.
AUACGGAGGGUGCAAGCGUUAUUCGGAAUCACUGGGCGUAACGGACGCGUAGGCGGGUUGGCAAGUCAGAUGUGAAAUCCUACAGCUUAACUGUAGAACUGCAUUUGAAACUGCUAACCUAGAGUAUGGGAGGGGGAGAUGAAAUUAGUGGUGUAGGGGUAAAAUCCGUAGAUAUCACUAGGAAUACCGAAAGCGAAGGCGAUCUCCUGGAACAUAACUGACGCUAAGGCGUGAAAGCGUGGGGAGCAAACAGGAUUAGAAACCCUAGUAGUCC